GUGGCGGCCCUGUCUGCGAGCAAAGGGUACGGAAGUUUAACUUGGCGGCCCAGUUCGUUAGCCGACUGUAUUCUCGGGUUCGAGUCGAGUAAUUUUAAACCGCUUUCGACAAAUCCCUAAUUUGUUUGAUUCCGGGUUAGUCCGACCCAAUCAGAGCUUCUUCUUCUUCUUCUUCUCUCUCUCCUGUGAAAAAUGGGUUACAGCGACGAUGCAGAAGAGCUUUUGAAGCGGAGACCGAGGAAAAUGGCGUAUCUCGGAAACCCAUCUCGCAGGCAAUUGAAUAGCAGAGGACGUUCCGAUACCCUAAUGGGAGAAAUGAGUUAUAUGCAAGAGGAAGAUAUUUCGUUAGACGCCAUACGAGCUUGAUGGACAAAUGUUCUCAAAGGGCAUAGCGAGUUAGCAGAGCGUCUUUCUAGGGAUGCCAACAAGAUAAUUUAUGAGCGUCUACAGAAGGAAUUUGAAGAUGCACGGGCUUCACAAACUCAAGAGAAUUAUUUGGAUGGUGAACGAUGGAACGAUGGUCUACUGGCUACAAUAAGAGAGCGGGUGACUUGUUGUUUGGAAGGGGCAAGAAUUGGCAAACUCUAUGAGAUAUCUUAUGCUGGUAUGCUGUGAAGUAAUUGAUUUUCAAUUAGUUAGUAUCUUAUGUGUCUUGUAUGGUAUCAUGUCAUUUGACUCAUUUUUCUAUCUAAAAAAGGGUUAUGUUCUAUCUGACGUCAUUGUCUGCCGUGUGAAAUAUUCCAUAAGCAAACUGAAGGUUGAUAGUUGUGUAAGAAUCCUAUGUGGACUUAACAAGUUGUGAUAAAGGAGAGGUUAUGUGUUGAUAAUAUAAUUCUCAAGAGUUUUAAUACGUGGAAAAGUUAAUGUCCUAUUAUUGUGGAAACACAUUCUAAAUACUGGGAAAUAACCUAUUUAUUUCAACUGAUAUUUCAUCACUCCAUGUCUACCGGGAUUUGAGGCAACGGGUCAAUAACCACACUUCCACAAUAGAUGGAAGUUGGCUGCCUUGCCUCUAUAAAUGCAGAAAUUCCCUACUCACAAAGAUACGUUAUGAGAUUAGGGUUCUAUCACCAUAAGAACAUAAGGCUUUCAGUGAGUAGAAGAGUUUUCUGCAACAACCAUUGACGAUGUCUUCCUCAGCUUUGAACCUGUCUUCCAUUCAACCCUUGAGCUGAGGGAAUUACAAAAAGUGGAGAGAAGAUGUUGAGAUCGUGCUAGGGCUAAUGGACCUUGAUUUGGCCUUGAGAGAAGAUGAACCAGCACCAUUAACUGAUGAUUCAACUCCUGAUCAGAGGAUGAAAUUUGAAAAAUGGGAGAAGGCUUUGAUGGUGAUGAAGAGGACUAUGAGUGAUACAGUGAGGGGUGGCUUCGCAGCAUGUGACAAAGCUAAAGAUUUCUUGGAAGCUGUGGGAGUGAAGUUCAGAGAGUCUGAGAAGGCACAAAUGGGAGAUUUGAUGAUGACCGUGACAACCGUGAAACUUGAUGAGAAUAAGAUUGUGAGAGCACAUUCUUAAACUUGUUGAGACUGCUGUCAAACUCAGAGAAUUGGUUGUUCCCAUUGACGAUGCAUUCAUAGUCCACAUGGCCCUGAAUUCGUUGCCUCCAAAGUUCAACCAACUGAAGAUUUCUUAUAAUACUCAGAAGGAGAAAUGGGCAUUGGAUGACUUGAUCUCAAUCUGUGCACAGGAAAAAGCUAGAAUCAAAAGGGAUGAAGUUUUUUCACACCAUUAAUAUGGUGCAUGCUGACAAGGGUAAGAUAGUGGCUUACAACUCUGGUAAGGUCCCUAAUCUUGACAAUAAGUUCACUUCUGCUCCAUAUGCAUCCUCCUCUAAAGGACCCGUGACACAUAUGGAUUACAUGGACAAAAUCAAGUGUUAUUUUUUAAAAAAGCUUGGGCAUAUGAAAAGGGAUUGUGACAAAUGAAAGAUUUGGAAAAAUAAGAAAGGGGUUCACAAGAGGAACUACAACAAAAAGAAGUGAAGAUUUUCAAGUUCAUGUUGGCAAUGGAAAUAAAGUAGUUGUGGAAGCGAUAGGCAACCUCAAGCUAAAGCUUUCAAGUGGUUUUAUUUUAGAAUUAAGUGAUGUUCUUUAUGUACCUUCUUUAAGAAGGAAUUUAAUUUCUGCUUCUCAACUUGUGUAGUCCGGAUUUGCUUUUAGUGGUGACAUUGAAAGUGUAAGGAUUUUUAUGAAAAAUAAUCCAAGUGAAAUACUUGGAAUUUGUUUCUUAAUGCAUGAUUUAUGGCGUCUGCUUUGCUCA
Long non-coding RNA from Pyrus x bretschneideri (Chinese white pear), 2258 nucleotides. RefSeq lists it as uncharacterized. The record is from RefSeq and is a predicted model, not a curated record. The transcript is spliced from 9 exons. Lineage: Eukaryota; Viridiplantae; Streptophyta; Magnoliopsida; Rosales; Rosaceae.